GGGAUAUUGCCAAUGGGCGCAAGCCUGAUGCAGCCUGCCGCGUGUGUGAAGAAGGCCUUCGGGUUGUAAAGCACUUUCAGUCAGGAGGAAAGGUUAGUAGUUAAUACCUCGCUAGCUGUGACGUUACUGACAGAAGAAGCACCGGCUAACUCCGUGCCAGCAGCCGCGGUAAUACGGAGGGUGCGAGCGUUAAUCGGAAUUACUGGGCGUAAAGCGUACGCAGGCGGUUUGUUAAGCGAGAUGUGAAAGCCCCGGGCUCAACCUGGGAACUGCAUUUCGAACUNGCAAACUAGAGUGUGAUAGAGGGUGGUAGAAUUUCAGGUGUAGCGGUGAAAUGCGUAGAGAUCUGAAGGAAUACCGAUGGCGAAGGCAGCCACCUGGGUCAACACUGACGCUCAUGUACGAAAGCGUGGGGAGCAAACAGGAUUAGAUACCCUGGUAGUCCACGCCGUAAACGAUGUCUACUAGAAGCUCGGAACCUCGGUUCUGUUUUUCAAAGGCUAACGGCAUUAAGUAGACCGCCUGGGGAGUACGGCCGCAAGGUUAAAACUCAAAUGAAUGACGGGGGCCCGCACAAGCGGUGGAGCAUGUGGUUUAAUUCGAUGCAACGCGAAGAACCUUACCUACACUUGACAUACAGAGAACUUACCAGAGAGGUUUGGUGC
This 665-nucleotide ribosomal RNA is filed under the name Pseudoalteromonas sp. UST020129-029. Its description in RNAcentral is "bacterial SSU rRNA". It matches the Rfam family "Bacterial small subunit ribosomal RNA", at positions 358 to 1016 of the family's 1533-position model. Lineage: Bacteria; Pseudomonadati; Pseudomonadota; Gammaproteobacteria; Alteromonadales; Pseudoalteromonadaceae. The record is from RNAcentral.